GGGGGCGUAGCAUAAUCCGGUUAGUGUGACCGGCUCCAGACCGGUUGAUGGGGGUUCAAAUCCCUCCGUCCCCA
RNAcentral lists this transfer RNA (74 nucleotides) under Nanobdellota archaeon. Its description in RNAcentral is "tRNA-Trp". It matches the Rfam family "tRNA". From Rfam's summary of the family: Transfer RNA (tRNA) molecules are approximately 80 nucleotides in length. Lineage: Archaea; Nanobdellati; Nanobdellota. The record is from RNAcentral.